UUUGGAUGCAAAGUAAAGUGAAAUUAAUAAUAGUAUUGAUACAUUUUACAUGUAAUGUUAUUUUACAUUUUAUAGCAAAGGGUUUUCGAUGCAAAGUAAAUUGAAGUUGAUUAUAUUAUUUAUACAUUUUACAUGUAAUUUUUAUUUUACAUUUUAUAGCUAAGGGUUUUGGAUGCAAAGUAGACGUGAGACUAAUACUAAUUUUUAUUUUUACAUUUUAUAGCGAAGGGUUUUGGAUGCAAAGUAAAGUGAAAUUAAUAAUAGUAUUGAUACAUUUCACAUGUAAUUUUUAUUUUACAUUUUAUAGCAAAGAGUUUUGGAUGCAAAGUAAAGUGAAAUUAAUACUAAUACUAAUUUUUAUUUUUAUUUCAUAUGGUAAGAAAUUUAAGUAGUAUAUAGAUUCACAUGGGUAAUGAUUACAAAAGUUUCUUUUUCGAGAUUGAAAAUUUCAUUUCCCUUUCCUUGAAAAUUUCCUUGCAACCAAACAGAGUCAUAAGGAUUUUAUUCUUCGAGGGAAAAUACAGGCUAGAAUUUCCUUUUGGAGGACAGAAGCUUUACCCCGAAGGAAGCUAUUUAGGGUUGAUUUAUAAGUUUUUGCUAAUGUCCUGUCUAUUGGGGGAAACUGAAGAGCAAAGUUUACAUAUUUUGGGGGCUGAUUCUGGGAAGUAAACUGUCAACAGAAUUUUAUGAGAAUGGGAUGCUAAAAAAAUGUCAUACCCAGUGCAAGAGGCUCCCGCAUGUGCAAGGUCAGGGGUGGGGUGGUGGGGAGAAUUAUGCAGCCUUACCCUGAGAAUAUCAAGAGGCUGUUUCUACCGCUUGACCACCAGGUUGCAACAUUCGUACCUUACCGUUGGACCAAGCGCGCGCCGCUUAGAAUGGGAUGUUAAUUAGUUUAAAUUCACGAAGGCCUGCUAUUGAUUCCGUCAAUAGCAGGAUGAUUUUGAAUAGAUGCCUAAAGAUGAUCCAUAAGGCCUGUUUCUUCCAACCAGAUAUACCAGAUAGCCCAUCGAGGGGGUACUUGAGUUAAACUGUGACUGUAAUCUUUGAAUUGGUCACACCCAGCUUUCUGCAUUUAUGGAAGCUUCUUUUUUAAUUAUUGUCGUUUUCUUCUUUGAAAUAAACUUUUUCUUUGUCUAACUUUAGGCGAAAUCCUGAGGCACUCAAUUUGACUGCCAUUAUGUAUGUCUGAAGAACUGUAAAAGAUUGAUAAAGAAAUCAAUCAACCAAGUGUGCAUUGUGGCCUACUAAAGGGGAGUUUCUACACACUUGAGUUACCCAUAGAACAUCGGAGAGGUCAUGACCAACUUAGGGUUUAGCAAAGUGGUCCAUGACUGACAUGGGUUAUCUGCUGUACAUGUACACACACCUAUUUCUGUCUUCCAUAACCUCGUCAGAAACACUAGAGUUCUGUCUUUGUACCCAUUUUCUUUCAGAUUAGCAUGCCAAACUUCUUUGUUUCAUUGUAAAACUUAGUGUACUUACAAAAGUUCAUGUGCAGGGGAGCAAUUGCACAGCCAAGACUAUUGGUUCCUGUGGCACUGGUCAUGAUCUAUAACCGGUGGAAUGGCCUCCUGGUGCCAGAAUAUGGGUUGAUGCACCUAGAUUUGAUACCAAUGCUUGUGGGCUUUUUUACAUACAAGAUUGCUGCUUUUACUCAAGCUAUUGAGGAAGCCUUGACUGUAGUUGAAAAGAAGACCCAAGUCUGAAGACUACAAUUAUUUUCCAGACUAUGGAUUGCCAGCUUGAAAAACCCAAGUCUCACUACAAUUAUUUUCCAGACCAUGGAUUGCCAGCUUGAAAAACCCAAGUCUCUGACUACACUUAUUUUCCAGACCAUGGAUUGCCAGCUUGAAAAGCUACAGUCAUAGUAAUUCUAGAUGGUCCUUUUCCCCAUAGUUGUAAAAGCUGAAGAGUAAAGGUCUGUCCGGUUCGCCAUUAACUUUGUGAUGUGAAAGUACAUUGUAACUAUUAACAUUUCUGGUGUUGACCACCAAGAUUCUGAUUUGUAAUUGGAAGGAGUUGGAAUUUGCUCGAGGAAACAAAUACAGAUAAUUUUACCCCAUUCUAACAUGAGACUUCUAUUUUUUAUUGGU
This is a long non-coding RNA of Macadamia integrifolia, 2093 nucleotides long. RefSeq lists it as uncharacterized. The transcript has 2 exons. The record is from RefSeq and is a predicted model, not a curated record. NCBI's taxonomy places the organism in Eukaryota, Viridiplantae, Streptophyta, Magnoliopsida, Proteales, Proteaceae.